Molecule: long non-coding RNA, 318 nt
Organism: Oreochromis aureus
Lineage: Eukaryota; Metazoa; Chordata; Actinopteri; Cichliformes; Cichlidae
Exons: 3
Source: RefSeq, a predicted model, not a curated record
UUCCACCUCCAUCACUCUUCCUCCAUCACUCUCUCCUCCUGUUCUCUCUGUGUUGUCAUGUGUUGGAUCAGUCUGUGUUGUGGUUCUACUGGUGUUACUGGUUCUGCUGGUGAGACGAUGUGUUCACAGGAAACCUGAAGAUCAAGAAGAAAGUGAAGAAGACGACCUCAUCACUUAUGUCAUCAUUGAGAUAUCAGUUCAUCAAGAACAAUCUGACAAAGAAAGACGAGAUAUUUAUUUUGCAGUAGUGGUCUACUCAGCAGUGAGAAGUGAAGACAUCAGUUAUGGACAAACAACCAUCAGAACAAGCAGGCCCAG